UGGUGUGCGUUCAAACAGUUGAAUGCACUUGUUGUUCCAGUCAGUUUAAUCACCUCUAAAUUAAUGUGCAGCCUUCACUAAAGCACAAACAGGCGCACAGAAAGGGAUUUCAUUGAUUUGAUGCGUUUCAAUACUAAUAUUUCUUUGGAUUUUUGUAGAAUUUUUAAUUAUCAUGUCCCAUGCACUCACAUGUUUGUUUUUGUUUCUCUCUGCAGAUAAUUUAUGUGAGUUGCUGAUAUCAAGGGAAAGCUAAAAAGAAAGCGUAAAUCAUCCUUGAGAACUUGAACCACGUACAAGAGAGUGUCCUUUGCAUCCUAAAGCCAGUAAAAGCAAGAAGUUCUUUCACGAAUCAAGACUACAAGUCAAAGAGAUGUUUGACAGUCCUCCAAACAACUAACUGUCCACAAACACAGCCAGAUGGUG
This is a long non-coding RNA of Sinocyclocheilus rhinocerous, 423 nucleotides long. RefSeq lists it as uncharacterized. The transcript has 3 exons. Lineage: Eukaryota; Metazoa; Chordata; Actinopteri; Cypriniformes; Cyprinidae. The record is from RefSeq and is a predicted model, not a curated record.